UACGUAGGGGGCGAGCGUUGUCCGGAAUGAUUGGGCGUAAAGGGCGCGUAGGCGGCGCGGUAAGUCCGGAGUGAAAGUCCUGCUUUCAAGGUGGGAAUUGCUUUGGAUACUGCCGCGCUUGAGUGCAGGAGAGGUUAUCGGAAUUCCCGGUGUAGCGGUGAAAUGCGUAGGGAUCGGGAGGAACACCAGUGGCGAAGGCGGGUAACUGGACUGCAACUGACGCUGAGGCGCGAAAGUGUGGGGAGCAAACAGGAUUAGAUACCCUGGUAGUCCACACUGUAAACGAUGAAUGCUAGGUGUAAGAGGUAUCGACCCCUUUUGUGCCGGAGUCAACACAAUAAGCAUUCCGCCUGGGGAGUACGGCCGCAAGGUUGAAACUCAAAGGAAUUGACGGGG
RNAcentral lists this ribosomal RNA (396 nucleotides) under uncultured bacterium. RNAcentral's name for it is "partial 16S ribosomal RNA". It matches the Rfam family "Bacterial small subunit ribosomal RNA", at positions 524 to 918 of the family's 1533-position model. The record is from RNAcentral.